UGCAUCGGCCGGGAAUCGAACCCGGGCCGCCCGCGUGGCAGGCAAGCAUUCUACCACUAAAUGUAGC
This 67-nucleotide transfer RNA is filed under the name Cordylochernes scorpioides. RNAcentral describes it as "tRNA-Gly". The record is from RNAcentral. Lineage: Eukaryota; Metazoa; Arthropoda; Arachnida; Pseudoscorpiones; Chernetidae.